RNAcentral lists this long non-coding RNA (589 nucleotides) under Phascolarctos cinereus (koala). RNAcentral's name for it is "lncRNA (ENSPCIG00000033682.1)". Lineage: Eukaryota; Metazoa; Chordata; Mammalia; Diprotodontia; Phascolarctidae. The record is from RNAcentral.
GUGAUUGAGGAAGAAGCUCAGUCUUCUCAGGACUCUUCCUUUCCCCAAGAAAGGAAGACCCAGGAGGUGGGAACAGCUACUCUUCGACUGACAGCCAGGUCCCAUGUAAGUUGAACUUCCUUUCUCUCCCCCCCCAACACCCCCAAAAGACUCUUAGUUCUCAGAAUGUGGACACUUUCCCCCUCUAGCUCUAGCAUUUUUCAGUCUUAACAGAAAUUCAGAUCUGAGCCCUUAUUCCAGGAGAUUAACUAAGUUAUAGGAUCUUGGAAUUAGAAAUUCAGGUGUCCCAAUUCCAAGAUGCUGUCAUCCUAUAACCUACUUAGUUCGAAACUAUAACCACUGUUUCUACCUCCUCUUUGCUGCUUUCUUGUGGUAAAGCAGAAUGGACCUCAUAGAGAAUGCUCUCCAUUUGCUUAGUGCCCUCUCUCAGUUCUCUUGACCUUUCCACCCAACAAUUACCCUUUCACUUAACCAGGAUUCAGUGAGCAUCUAGCAUCUUUAUACUCUGUGUUUAAUACCCUCUUGUAUGUUGUAAUGUAUCUACAAAAACAUAAGAACGUAUAUUCAUCUAAAUCAAAACAUUUUCCAG